ACUACGGGUGGCAGCAGUGGGGAAUAUUGGGCAAUGGGCGCAAGCCUGACCCAGCAACGCCGCGUGAAGGAGGAAGGCUUUCGGGUUGUAAACUUCUUUUAAGAGGGAAGAGCAGCAGACGGUACCUCUUGCAUAAGCAACGGCUAACUACGUGCCAGCAGCCGCGGUAAUACGUAGGUGGCACGCGUUGUCCGGAUUUACUGGGUGUACAGGGCGUGCAGCCGGGAAGACAAGUCAGAUGUGAACUCCCGCGGCUCAACCGCGGAACUGCAUUUGAAACUGUUUUUCUUGAGUACCGGAGAGGUCAUCGGAAUUCCUUGUGUAGCGGUGAAAUGCGUAGAUAUAAGGAAGAACACCAGUGGCGAAGGCGGAUGACUGGACGGCAACUGACGGUGAGGCGCUAAAGCGUGGGGAGCAAACAGGAUUAGAUACCCCUAGUAGUC
Molecule: ribosomal RNA, 443 nt
Filed under: uncultured bacterium
Lineage: Bacteria
Description: partial 16S ribosomal RNA
Rfam family: Bacterial small subunit ribosomal RNA
Source: RNAcentral